UACGUAGGGGGGCAAGCGUUGUCCGGAAUCAUUGGGCGUAAAGAGCGUGUAGGCGGCCCGAUAAGUCCGCCGUGAAAGUCCAGGGCUCAACCCUGGAAGGCCGGUGGAAACUGUCGGGCUCGAGUCCGGAAGAGGCGAGUGGAAUUCCUGGUGUAGCGGUGAAAUGCGCAGAUAUCAGGAGGAACACCAAUGGCGAAGGCAGCUCGCUGGGACGGUACUGACGCUGAGACGCGAAAGCGUGGGGAGCCAACAGG
Molecule: ribosomal RNA, 254 nt
Filed under: uncultured bacterium
Lineage: Bacteria
Description: partial 16S ribosomal RNA
Rfam family: Bacterial small subunit ribosomal RNA
Source: RNAcentral